This 262-nucleotide long non-coding RNA is filed under the name Vigna radiata. RNAcentral's name for it is "long non-coding RNA (VRAD_LNC004593)". The record is from RNAcentral. Lineage: Eukaryota; Viridiplantae; Streptophyta; Magnoliopsida; Fabales; Fabaceae.
GGCCGAAGGAGCUCAGGCACGGUGGUUACCGGAGCCGUAGAAGGCAAAAGUGUAGAUCGGAGCACAACAGGUAUGAAAAACGUAGUCUUUUCUUAUUAUGUUGAACAUCAAAAAUACUGUUUCUGAGAUUCUGAUUACAACAAAGGGAAAGGGGGUGAACUCUAUAUAUAGAGUUCUAAGGGGAACAAAACGGUAAAACAAACAAAUAAACAGAAUAACUGUCUUCGGACAGUUAAGAGAACUGUAAAGUUCUCAAUACCCU